UAUAAUAUGUUGUAUAUGUAGCCUACAUUGCGUGUUUGCAUAAAAGAGCAGGUUAAUCCUUUUUUGAACAGGUUUGUUGAAAAAUCCUUCUCGAAAGAAUCGUAUUUCCAAAGUACUGUCAACUGACCACAUCUUCUUCCGCUUGUCAAAAUAGUUCUGCUCAGUUUGGUGUUUUAUUACGGAUUUAUUCUCAUAGUACCGUUUCAUAAUUUGAUAUAAUAAUAUAAUAAUAUGCUGAUAUUAAAAUUAAAAAAAAUAAAAAAUGUAAUAUUCGAACUGAAGGAAUUCCCGCCCUAGCGCAAGGACACAUUCUCCUCCAAGCACGCAGUGGAGCUGCUGCGCGCGCAGAAGGAAUAACUCGACCUUCAGUUUCACGGUCAAUCUUCAAUCUGAGGCGAAAAUAAGCAGAUAAGUUCAGUGAGUGCUAAAACCAUGGUCAACAUGAAAGGUCAUAGUUAACGACCACAUCACCAUCUUCUGCAACGCUCUGAUGUUUGCUUCAUACAACUGCUUGAACAUUUCAUACCCAGGAAACCAAGGAGAAACGCAAGAGAUUGUGCAAAGAUUCCUUUUUAAGAUGAACCCCGAGAAGGGAUCGAAAGUGGAGAAGACCACAUCGAGAAAGAAAUCAGCAGUCAGUCCAAAGGUUCUUUCACUGAUUAACAAGAUUGCGGACUUUGAAAGGAUGGAGUAAAACUUGGAGUGUCAGAUCUUCCUACAUUGCCUAGCAGAAAUUCUUGACAGUGUCAAAGACUUAAAAUACUUGCUGAUUAUUUGCUUUCAUGGUUGAUUUUUUUUUUUUUUAAUGCAUCAUCUGUUGUCAAGAUGAAUUAAUCUGUUCACAGGUGGUUCAGUUUUAAGGACAAAU
Carassius auratus (goldfish) is the source of this 868-nucleotide long non-coding RNA. RefSeq lists it as uncharacterized. NCBI's taxonomy places the organism in Eukaryota, Metazoa, Chordata, Actinopteri, Cypriniformes, Cyprinidae. The transcript has 4 exons. The record is from RefSeq and is a predicted model, not a curated record.